Molecule: ribosomal RNA, 447 nt
Filed under: uncultured bacterium
Lineage: Bacteria
Description: bacterial SSU rRNA
Rfam family: Bacterial small subunit ribosomal RNA
Source: RNAcentral
UCAAGAAACUUCCACAAUGGGCGAAAGCCUGAUGGAGCGACGUCGCGUGAUGGACGAAGUGCUUCGGCACGUAAACAUCUUUUUAUGUGGGAUGAAAUUAUUGACAGUACCACAUGAAUAAGGGGCUCCUAACUCUGUGCCAGCAGGAGCGGUAAUACAGAGGCCCCAAGCGUUAUCCGGAAUCACUGGGCGUAAAGGGUGUCGAGGCGGUUGUAUUAGUCGUUCGUAAAAUCUACGAGCUUAACUUGUAGGCGGCGAACGAAACGGUACGACUUGAGGUUUGGAGAGGUGCGUGGAACUCACGGUGUAGGGGUGAAAUCCGUUGAUAUCGUGGGGAACACCAAAGGCGAAGGCAGCGCACUGGCCAAAAUCUGACGCUCACACACGAAAGCUAGGGUAGCGAAGAGGAUUAGAUACCCAAGUAGUCCCUGAGCGGGCUGGCAAGGC